This 140-nucleotide ribosomal RNA is filed under the name uncultured bacterium. Its description in RNAcentral is "partial 16S ribosomal RNA". It matches the Rfam family "Bacterial small subunit ribosomal RNA", at positions 355 to 509 of the family's 1533-position model. The record is from RNAcentral.
UGGGGGAUAUUGGACAAUGGGGGGAACCCUGAUCCAGCGACGCCGCGUGAGUGAAGAAGUAUCUCGGUAUGUAAAGCUCUGUCAGCAGGGAAGAAAGAAAUGACGGUACCUGACCAAGAAGCCCCGGCUAACUACGUGCC